RNAcentral lists this ribosomal RNA (379 nucleotides) under uncultured eukaryote. RNAcentral's name for it is "partial 18S ribosomal RNA". It matches the Rfam family "Eukaryotic small subunit ribosomal RNA", at positions 592 to 975 of the family's 1831-position model. The record is from RNAcentral.
CAAUAGCGUAUAUUAAAGUUGUUGCGGUUAAAAAGCUCGUAGUUGGAUUUCUGCUGAGGACGACCGGUCCGCCCUCUGGGUGAGUAUCUGGCUCGGCCUGGGCAUCUUCUUGGAGAACGUAGCUGCACUUGACUGUGUGGUGCGGUAUCCAAGACCUUUACUUUGAGGAAAUUAGAGUGUUUCAAGCAGGCACACGCCUUGAAUACAUUAGCAUGGAAUAAUAAGAUAGGACCUUGGUUCUAUUUUGUUGGUUUCUAGAGCUGAGGUAAUGAUUAAUAGGGAUAGUUGGGGGCAUUCGUAUUUAACUGUCAGAGGUGAAAUUCUUGGAUUUGUUAAAGACGGGCUACUGCGAAAGCAUUUGCCAAGGAUGUUUNCAUUG